UGGGCUUGUACCUUUUUUCACAAAGAGACACUGACGACUUUACCAUCCCAACAAAAUGUAGGUUCAGAAAACACAUAUUCCAGGAAGGUGACCAGUUCAUCUUAUGAAGGGAUCCAAGCCAGAUGGCUGAGUUUUCUAGUUCCAUUCUCAACACUCUCACCAGGGGGAGGCCAGAGGGUAUGGAACACAUUCUGUCCUAAUCCCACUGAGCAUCAGCUUCUAAACUGAAAUGGAAAAAAUGAUACUAAUUUCUCAGGACGGCAGAGGACCAUAGCAAAAGUUGUCCCAUGCAAUGGGCUCCCGGGAUCCUGCAGGAGCUCUAGAAGUAAGAAGCACAGCUUCCGUUCCCAGCUCGGCUGCAGAGGAUCAGGAUGCACCCCACCGAGUUCCAAUUGCAGAGCAUAAUUGGCCAAGAGCACCAGCUGCUUGGCUGGACACCUGUCCCUUCAUUUGAACCAAGGCCACACUCUUCACAGGCGUUUUUCAGCCAAUGGCCAGGCACUUCAAGGCUCCUCAGGAGAUGGGACUCCUCUGAGAGCUGGCUUUGGUCAAGGACUCCAGCAGCCUGCAGAGCCCUCCUUAGACCACACAGCAGCCCAGGACCCUUCCACCAACCUCCAAUUCCUCUUUCCUUUGCUGGGAUCUCACUUGAAUCAUGAGCUGACUGCUGUCAUACCUCUCCACUUUCUUUUACAUAGACAUUUCCUCUAAUAAAAUCUUUGCAAUUUAAGAUCA
Molecule: non-coding RNA, 735 nt
Organism: Ictidomys tridecemlineatus (thirteen-lined ground squirrel)
Lineage: Eukaryota; Metazoa; Chordata; Mammalia; Rodentia; Sciuridae
Source: RefSeq, a predicted model, not a curated record